AUUGAACGCUGGCGGCAGGCCUAACACAUGCAAGUCGAGCGGAUGAAGGGAGCUUGCUCCUGGAUUCAGCGGCGGACGGGUGAGUAAUGCCUAGGAAUCUGCCUGGUAGUGGGGGAUAACGUCCGGAAACGGGCGCUAAUACCGCAUACGUCCUGAGGGAGAAAGUGGGGGAUCUUCGGACCUCACGCUAUCAGAUGAGCCUAGGUCGGAUUAGCUAGUUGGUGGGGUAAAGGCCUACCAAGGCGACGAUCCGUAACUGGUCUGAGAGGAUGAUCAGUCACCCUGGACUUGGGACCCGGCCAGACUCCUACGGGAGGCAGCAGUGGGGAAUAUUGGACAAUGGGCGAAAGCCUGAUCCAGCCAUGCCGCGUGUGUGAAGAAGGUCUUCGGAUUGUAAAGCACUUUAAGUUGGGAGGAAGGGCAGUAAGUUAAUACCUUGCUGUUUUGACGUUACCAACAGAAUAAGCACCGGCUAACUUCGUG
This 483-nucleotide ribosomal RNA is filed under the name uncultured bacterium. RNAcentral describes it as "partial 16S ribosomal RNA". It matches the Rfam family "Bacterial small subunit ribosomal RNA", at positions 30 to 507 of the family's 1533-position model. The record is from RNAcentral.